GUGAGUAGUUCAGAGUUUGAUCCUGGCUCAGGAUGAACGCUGGCGGCGUGCCUAACACAUGCAAGUCGAACGAAGCACCUAAGACUGAUUUCUUCGGAAUGAAGUUUUUUGUGACUGAGUGGCGGACGGGUGAGUAACGCGUGGGUAACCUGCCUUAUACAGGGGGAUAACAGUUAGAAAUGACUGCUAAUACCGCAUAAGCGCACAGUACCGCAUGGUACAGUGUGAAAAACUCCGGUGGUAUAAGAUGGACCCGCGUCUGAUUAGCUAGUUGGCGAGGUAACGGCUCACCAAGGCGACGAUCAGUAGCCGGCCUGAGAGGGUGAACGGCCACAUUGGAACUGAGACACGGUCCAA
Molecule: ribosomal RNA, 357 nt
Filed under: uncultured bacterium
Lineage: Bacteria
Description: bacterial SSU rRNA
Rfam family: Bacterial small subunit ribosomal RNA
Source: RNAcentral